Cicer arietinum (chickpea) is the source of this 837-nucleotide non-coding RNA. The record is from RefSeq and is a predicted model, not a curated record. Lineage: Eukaryota; Viridiplantae; Streptophyta; Magnoliopsida; Fabales; Fabaceae.
AAAAUUAAUUCAUGUCAUCGCAAUUAAAAAAACCAUUGUCUACUUGUUGCUCCUCUUAACAUUUUGAAGAAGAUCCGCCAUUGGUCAGCGAGAACUUGUAAGGCGGGAUGCAUGAUCGUUAUCCAAACUUCUUUUGAGGAGAUUUUCUCCUUUAAGAAAAAAAUUCCUAUCCACAUGGCCUAAAAUGGCGCAGUCGCCACAGGAUCCUCACUCAGGCCAAUUGACAUGCUUAUAUGGUCGAGGUCAAUUACACAAUUUAAAGGGAUUUUGUUUCCAAGAGGAGUAUAUUCUCAUCACCAGAGCGAGGUUCAAUAGGUAAAUCUAUAGCUCAAUCCCCACCUGAUCUAUCACCAGAUAGAGACCGACUCCACUAACAUCCAUGCCGAAACACAUGACAACUUCUCUCAGCCUGGGUUGUGUAGAUCUAUUCUGAAAGGAUGGUAACAAGUGGUUGUAGUCUAGUUAGGCACAUAUGCUUCAAAUCUCUACCAGUUAUGUAAUUGUUAUGUAGCACAAGGAAGAAUCUUCAACACUAUUUAGCAGCUAUCUUUUUGUGGCAUGGUUGACAUUCUGAGGACCACAAUUUCCAUUUACCGAAUACAUUUUGGCACUGAAACAACUUUUUCGGUUUAAAUUUGAGGCCCAAAACCACACUCAAGAAAAAGAAAGCACGUCCUUCAACAUCUGCUUAUUAGUGCAAUGACUUUAAGAAAUGUGGUUCUGCUUCUUAGACUAGUUGCCUUCUAUGUUGUUUCUCCUUUUGACAAGUGAUUUCACUAGAUUCUGGAGAUAUCUAUUUUUCAUACAGGAAAUUACAUUUUUGUUAUUUUGUGAUAA